Molecule: ribosomal RNA, 253 nt
Filed under: uncultured bacterium
Lineage: Bacteria
Description: partial 16S ribosomal RNA
Rfam family: Bacterial small subunit ribosomal RNA
Source: RNAcentral
UACGAAGGUCCCAAGCGUUAUCCGGAUUUAUUGGGUUUAAAGGGUGCGUAGGCGGGCUAUUAAGUCAGUGGUGAAAGCCCCAAGCUUAACUUGGGAACUGCCAUUGAUACUGAUGGUCUUGAGUACAUUUGAAGUGGGCGGAAUGUGUCAUGUAGCGGUGAAAUGCUUAGAUAUGACACAGAACACCGAUUGCGAAGGCAGCUUACUACCCGAAUAUUGACACUGAGGCACGAAAGCGUGGGGAUCAAACAGG